This 82-nucleotide transfer RNA is filed under the name Planctomycetaceae bacterium. RNAcentral's name for it is "tRNA-Leu". It matches the Rfam family "tRNA". Rfam says of the family: Transfer RNA (tRNA) molecules are approximately 80 nucleotides in length. The record is from RNAcentral. Lineage: Bacteria; Pseudomonadati; Planctomycetota; Planctomycetia; Planctomycetales; Planctomycetaceae.
GCGAGAGUGGCGGAAUUGGCAUACGCGCCAGACUUAGGAUCUGGUCCCUUCGGGGUUGAGGGUUCAAGUCCCUCCUCUCGCA